RNAcentral lists this ribosomal RNA (441 nucleotides) under uncultured bacterium. Its description in RNAcentral is "bacterial SSU rRNA". It matches the Rfam family "Bacterial small subunit ribosomal RNA", at positions 958 to 1398 of the family's 1533-position model. The record is from RNAcentral.
AACGCGAAGAACCUUACCCAGGCUUGACAUGUAGUGGACAGUCCAAGAAAUUGGAUCUUCCGCAAGGACCGCUACACAGGUGCUGCAUGGCUGUCGUCAGCUCGUGCCGUGAGGUGUUGGGUUAAGUCCCGCAACGAGCGCAACCCUUGUCACUAGUUACCAGCGCGUUAUGGCGGGGACUCUAGUGAGACUGCCCAGGUUAACUGGGAGGAAGGUGAGGAUGACGUCAAGUCCGCAUGGCCCUUAUGUCUGGGGUUACACACGUGCUACAAUGGCCAGUACAGAGGGCUGCGAAACCGCGAGGUGAAGCAAAUCCCCAAAACUGGUCUCAGUUCGGAUUGUAGUCUGCAACUCGGCUACAUGAAGUUGGAAUUGCUAGUAAUGGCGUGUCAGCAAUAGCGCCGUGAAUACGUUCCCGGGCCUUGUACACACCGAGACGUA